GUCGUUGCAGGGACUAGGGUGGCAUUUGUAGCCUCCAUUCUCGGGCUGUGGUGGCUGGGGACAAUAUGCAGGUCCUUUGGAUUUGCUGAGCCAACCUGUGGCCUGUGCUUCCAAAAUAAAGUUACCAAAGAUAACUAGCAGAAGAAACAACCCAUGGCUAGUCAAGGCAAGAGAUGAUCCUGUGUUGCUCUUUGGUGCUACCAUUCCAUGGCACAUCUUUUACCCACCAAGGUUUCUUCUAAAAAAAAAAAAUUCCAAAAAGUUCUGGUUGAUCAGGAGCACCUCAAUCUGGUGUUGGCAGAAGCUGGCAUACAGCAGUCGUCGUUAGCACAAUAGAAGUGAUGAUUCAGUGGUGGUAGGUUGAUUUGCACACCGGCCGUCUCAGGGGCGGAGGGGCGGCGGGGCGCGGGCACGGUGCCGCAGCGCGGGGCUGAAGGUCGGCGGCCUCGCGCCCCGGCCGGCGCCGCCGUCUUGCCCGCCCCCAACGGCCCGCGCGCCUCGCUC
Molecule: long non-coding RNA, 504 nt
Filed under: Gallus gallus (chicken)
Lineage: Eukaryota; Metazoa; Chordata; Aves; Galliformes; Phasianidae
Source: RNAcentral